AGGUCCUUUACAAAGCAGCAAUACACCGAUAAUUGCUUUCUGAUAAAGUGCAUUCCAUUUGUACUCGGAAUUAGGAUUUUGCGAGGUCAAAGUGGGAAACAUGCCCCCUGACCUCGGAUUUCCGAGCUCGGAACCCAGACAACCUGGCAGUACCCCGAGCUAAUAAUCCAACAUGGCUGCUCUGUGCAUCAACAGUAAUGAAAGCUGUAGUAACGUACAGUUAUUAGCACUUCUUACACACACUCAC
This is a long non-coding RNA of Etheostoma spectabile (orangethroat darter), 247 nucleotides long. RefSeq lists it as uncharacterized. Lineage: Eukaryota; Metazoa; Chordata; Actinopteri; Perciformes; Percidae. The transcript is spliced from 4 exons. The record is from RefSeq and is a predicted model, not a curated record.